Non-coding RNA from Paralichthys olivaceus (Japanese flounder), 65 nucleotides. NCBI's taxonomy places the organism in Eukaryota, Metazoa, Chordata, Actinopteri, Pleuronectiformes, Paralichthyidae. The record is from the annotation of a RefSeq genome assembly.
AGCCCUGGGGUGUUACACGUUAGAUUGCAAAUCUAAAGAAGUAGGCUAGUCGCCUACCGGGGCUU